AUGUCCCAUUUUAUUGGAGGGUCCUGGCCCCCUUAUACUAAGGACAGAGAGAUGGUUGUCUUGGGAGUCCUUCCCGGAUUCAGCUUCCUUUUUCUACUCCAAGUCAUCCACGCUUUCCAUGUUAGUGCCAUGUCUUUGGGCCUUGGGGGAGCAUUAGAGUGCCAAAGAGGGCUAACACGCGGUGAUAACUCCUUGAUGAUGGACCGUCCGAUGAUGAGAGUCGUCAUACAGAUGUUAAGCUUGCUUCGUCAGAUGAAGUUUAUCGUCUCUCAACGUCUAGCUAGCUUGAUAUCCCUAACCAUCAGCAUAUAUAACAAACCGAGGGUAGCUUGUGUAUACAAAAAAGAUCACCCAUGGCACGGCGUCUCACCUGGUGGUGAAGCUACACAUAGACAAAGCGGCUUGCCCUUGUUCGCGUCACCAUCGAGGCGCAGCGGAGCUACGCGUGGAGGUGGCGACCCAACAUGUGGCGUAGUUGUUAAUGUUCCUUUGAAGGUUUCAAGCAACCCUAAAUUUAUGUCGUACUUUCAGGAUUGUAUUGGAGCAAUUGAUGGGACGCAUGUUCCAAUUAGCAUAUCUCCGAGACUACAAGACCCAUAUCGCAAUAGAAAAGGAACAUUAUCACAAAAUGUCAUGGUGGCAUGUAAUUUUGAUAAUCAAUUCGUCCAUGUUAGUGCAGGCUGGGAAGGUUCAGCUUCUGAUGCUCGAGUGCUACAAGAUGCACUAGAAAAUAAUUUCUAUGUGCUAGAGGGAAAAUUUUAUUUGGUUGAUGCAGGAUAUGCAAAUACACCUAAUUUUAUUGCACCCUACCAAAAUGUCAGGUACCAUUUGAAUGAGCAAGCCAAAUGCAACCAAAGGCCACAAAAUGCUAAAGAGCUAUUCAAUCUCAGGCAUGCACAACUCCGUAAUCACAUCGAGCGCAUCAUUGGCGUUGUGAAGAAGCGUUUCCCGGUAUUGAAGUGUGCUUCACAUUACCCAAUUAAAUCUCAACCUGAUAUUGUCAUAGCAUGUUGUGCACUUCAUAACUUUAUUCGUAAUCACGAGGGGGGCGAACAAUGGUUUGACCAGGUUGGCUCCAAUAUUGACCCAAUACAUAUAGUUGAUAUUCCAAGUGGGGAUGCAAAAUACAGAAGUGAUGUACAGUCUCUCAAUGAGCGGCGUGCAUUGGGUCAUUCAAAAAGAGAUCAAAUUGCUGAAUCAAUGUGGAAAGACUACUGUGAGUAUCUCCAGGAGCGUGCUAGAAGAAAUAGCACAUGA
RNAcentral lists this ribosomal RNA (1257 nucleotides) under Triticum aestivum (bread wheat). RNAcentral's name for it is "partial small subunit ribosomal RNA". Lineage: Eukaryota; Viridiplantae; Streptophyta; Magnoliopsida; Poales; Poaceae. The record is from RNAcentral.